UGAAAUAAAUGAAUAAUAUGAAAACGAAAAGCUAAAAGCAUAGAAAGAAGAACCAGCAGGAGGAAAACAAUAAUGAAAAAGUUAAAUGAAGAAAAGAAAAAGCGAAGAAAAAAAUAUUCGACAGCUAAACAUAGAAGAGUCGUACAGAAAACAGCUCAGUUGCAAUUGAGUUGUUGACCGUGGCGGACUUGAAAUAUUAGCGAGUUCUCACGUUUAUAAGUUCUUUUUUAAGAUUGUAAAAAAAUAUAUAUAUAUAUAAAAAAUAAAAUACUGAAGUAAAAAAAAAACAAAUUGGAAAAAAAGUUUUACACACAUCCAUAGAGAAAAAUAUUACUGUUAGCAAAGGUGUGGAGCACUUACAGGCCGUAAAAGACUUAAAAAAAACGCAAGCAUUUUUUUAAUUUUAACAAAAAAACCAACAGCAAGCAGUAGUUUAUAAAAUUCUCCAAUAAAGGAUUUAACUACCAAAAACAACAACAGCUUUAAAUUUUUUUAAAUUAAACCCUUUUAAACA
This 514-nucleotide long non-coding RNA is filed under the name Lucilia cuprina (Australian sheep blowfly). Its description in RNAcentral is "uncharacterized LOC124420977, transcript variant X1". The record is from RNAcentral. Lineage: Eukaryota; Metazoa; Arthropoda; Insecta; Diptera; Calliphoridae.